UACAGAGGGUGCAAGCGUUAUCCGGAUUCACUGGGCUUAAAGGGUGUGUAGGCGGGCUGUUAAGUCAGUGGUGAAAUCUCCGGGCUUAACUCGGAAACUGCCAUUGAUACUAUCUGUCUUGAAUACCGUGGAGGUUAGCGGAAUAUGUCAUGUAGCGGUGAAAUGCUUAGAUAUGACAUAGAACACCAAUUGCGAAGGCAGCUGGCUACACGAAUAUUGACACUGAUGCACGAAAGCGUGGGGAUCAAACAGG
RNAcentral lists this ribosomal RNA (253 nucleotides) under uncultured bacterium. RNAcentral describes it as "partial 16S ribosomal RNA". It matches the Rfam family "Bacterial small subunit ribosomal RNA", at positions 524 to 776 of the family's 1533-position model. The record is from RNAcentral.